CUCGAACACAUGUGCCAAAGAUGGAAUACCUGUCAGUGUGGGACCCUGAUUGACUGUGGUGAGCAGAACAUGUGGCCCUGGCUUCAGAGCUGGACAGUGAAAAAUCCUCUACAAUUUGGAAAGUGAUCCCUUGAGACAAUGGGUUCCAUUUUUGAGUGCUUUUUCUAUACCUCCCAGACUAAGAGAUUUGGAAAUGCCCCCAGGUACAUAGUUGUAUAUUCUUCGUUGUGGGUCCUUCUAGUUGUGGCAUGUGGGACGCUGCCUCAGCGCGGUUUGAGGAGCAGUGCCAUGUCCGCGCCCAGGAUUCGAACCAACGAAACGCUGGGACGCCUGCAGCGGAAUGCACGAGCUUAACCACUCGGCCACGGGGCCAGCCCCAAGGCAGCUUUUAAAUAAAGAAGUUAAAUCAUCUGAAAGAUGAACUCCAUCAAGCCAUGAUAGUAAACACCAUCUCACUUCAAUUCAGACACCUGUUGUCCGAAUACCAGGCUUUGAUCCUCCACUCUGAACAUCUAGAACUGAGAAGCGUCCUGAACAAAACUUACUACUCGUG
RNAcentral lists this long non-coding RNA (553 nucleotides) under Equus caballus (horse). RNAcentral's name for it is "lncRNA (ENSECAG00000045859.1)". Lineage: Eukaryota; Metazoa; Chordata; Mammalia; Perissodactyla; Equidae. The record is from RNAcentral.